UUAUGGCCAUAUCACGUUUAAACAUCGGUUCCCGUACGAUCACUAAAUUUAAGCAACAUCAAGCCUGGUCAGUACAUAGAUGUGUGACCACUUGGGAAUACCAGGUGCUGUACG
Molecule: non-coding RNA, 114 nt
Organism: Acanthosepion pharaonis
Lineage: Eukaryota; Metazoa; Mollusca; Cephalopoda; Sepiida; Sepiidae
Source: the annotation of a GenBank genome assembly